Molecule: long non-coding RNA, 504 nt
Filed under: Elaeis guineensis (African oil palm)
Lineage: Eukaryota; Viridiplantae; Streptophyta; Magnoliopsida; Arecales; Arecaceae
Description: long non-coding RNA (EGUI_LNC026973)
Source: RNAcentral
CCCUCGAUGGGGGCACAGCAAGUACUGUUGCGGGAAACAGCGAAGCCUACUUCCCAGGUAAAAAGUUAAGAGUAGACGAAGCCCGCGAAUCUAAACCGUGCCAACCCAAGCAAAUCCGCCUCACCGUUCCGUUUUGAUAUGCCUCGCGAACAUUUUAACUCCCCAUACCAAGCAAACAAAAUUUUAUCUCCAACACGACGGGGGGCCAAAGCUGGGACGCAGCAGAACCAAUUUUCCGCCCGGGAUCGCCGUUCUUUAGGGGGAAUACCAGCCGUAGUCGUAGCCGUAGCUGGUAAAAACCAAAGUAAGAACUCAUUAGAGAGAGAAAAAAAGGGCAAAAAUAAAGCAGCAAAAAGAGGUGAGGGAGUGGUAUACAGUACUGGCCGAUGAGACCCCUGCAGCCAUAGAAGACGCCUCCCGAGAGCUAACAGCCGAUCGUCAUCCGACACGUGGCGGAAUGUCAUGUCAUCCAUAAUGAUGAUGGGACGGCUAUAAAUACGGGCG